GGAUUAGAUACCCUGGUAGUCCACACCGUAAACGAUGGAUACUAGGCGUUUGGAGAGUUAACCCUCUGAGUGCCGCAGUUCACACAUUAAGUAUCCCGCCUGGGGAGUACGGUCGCAAGGCUAAAACUCAAAGGAAUUGACGGGGGCCCGCACAAGCGGUGGAGUAUGUGGUUUAAUUCGAAGCAACGCGCAGAACCUUACCUGGCCUUGACAUCCCGGGACAACCUCAGAGAUGAGGCGUUCUCUUCGGAGACUCGGUGACAGAUGCUGCAUGGCUGUCGUCAGCUCGUGCCG
Molecule: ribosomal RNA, 294 nt
Filed under: uncultured bacterium
Lineage: Bacteria
Description: partial 16S ribosomal RNA
Rfam family: Bacterial small subunit ribosomal RNA
Source: RNAcentral